Molecule: long non-coding RNA, 1070 nt
Filed under: Sarcophilus harrisii (Tasmanian devil)
Lineage: Eukaryota; Metazoa; Chordata; Mammalia; Dasyuromorphia; Dasyuridae
Description: lncRNA (ENSSHAG00000022681.1)
Source: RNAcentral
GUACAAAGAACAUUGGUGUCAAGAAACUAUCUUCAACCAUCCCAAGAUGACCUGGAUUUUAGCACCACGUAUGAAGUGUGCCCCAUUACAUAAGCUACUUUAAAGUAAAACUGGGCAAAGCAAGAAGCCAUUUACCCUAUAAUACCUUCUCUUUGAUCACCCCUGUGUGUCCUUAUGAUUUCUCAGCAGGCAGACCUCCUUUAACAAUGGUCACACACAUGCACAUGCACACACACGCACAUGCACACACUCCUUUAAGAGCAGGAGUAUGGCAUAAUUGUGAUUAUUGCUAGACAUCAUCUCUGAACAUACAAAGAUAAGAGAAAGAUCAACUCUUUGCUAAAACAUCAUUUUGGCACACAUUACACGUUCGAUGGUUUUUCCACCCAGCUGAGGGUAAGAUUUUGGAGAUUUGGCUUCCUAUUCAGCUGGAUUCCCAGGGCGUCUGUUAAUUCCUUCAUGCUCAAAGAUGUGCACUUGUGCAGAGGGAUGAGAAAGUGGGAAUGAAAGAAACCCCACUCAAUGAAGGAUCCAGCGCUGAUUUUCUGUGCUCAUUAGUGACCUGGAACUUGUAGACUUCCAAUGGGCUGAAAAGGAAGACCCUUGUAUCCCCCCUCUCCUGGAAAUAAACAAAAGACUUGGCCAUCUCAAUCCUUUCCUCUCUUCUGAUCAUGGAAACACUGCCCUUUUGGGAUUCUCUUUAUGCAGCCAAUCUAUUCAUUAAAAUGUCACUUGGCAUGUAUAAAUAAAUAAAUAAGCCACAAAUACCAAAAAUCCAUGCCCUCCCCCCCACAAUAAUAAAACACCCUACAGAUUAGAUAAUGGAAAAACCAGGAGAUAAAGUGCAAUAAUCAAGCAUCCAUGUGAAAAAAAAAACAAAAACAAAAUCAGCCUGUCCAGACCACUGAAGAGAUAUAUUAAAAUUGUUUCUUUUGGGAUACUGCUGUAGUCAUGUGCUAACAAGAGACAUUAGGGAGAUAUCCUAAAAGAACAAUAAUAGAUAGGAGAUUUUAAGCAAAAACAAAACAAAAAACCCAUCCAAAAGCAACCAUGAUGACCAAAAAACCCAG